Molecule: ribosomal RNA, 379 nt
Filed under: Philautus macroscelis
Lineage: Eukaryota; Metazoa; Chordata; Amphibia; Anura; Rhacophoridae
Description: partial 12S ribosomal RNA
Rfam family: Bacterial small subunit ribosomal RNA
Source: RNAcentral
GCCAAGCCGUAAAAAAUUAAUUCACAAAAAUAAACGCCAGGGAAUUACGAGCUUUAGCUUAAAACCCAAAGGACUUGACGGUGUCCCACCCCACUAGAGGAACCUGUUCUAUAAUCGAUAAUCCACGUUAUACCUAACCAUUUUUUGCCUUUCAGCUUGUAUACCUCCGUCGCAAGCCUACCAUAUGAAUGCACAGCAGUAGGCCUAAUAGCUUUAACACUAAAACGUCAGGUCAAGGUGCAGCUUAUAAAAUGGAAAGUAAUGGGUUACAAUUUCUAACUUAGAACAAACGAAUUACUACAUGAAACAUAGUCAUGAAGGCGGAUUUAGCAGUAAAUAGGGAACAGAGAGCCCUAUUAAAUCUGGCCCUGGGACGUGU